UAAAAAAUAGGUCUCAGUUCAGAUUGCAGGCUGCAACCCGCCUGCAUGAAGUCGGAAUUGCUAGUAAUCGCGGAUCAGCAUGCCGCGGUGAAUACGUUCCCGGGCCUUGUACACACCGCCCGUCACACCAUGGGAGCCGGUAACACCCGAAGUCAGUAGUCCAACCUCGUGAGGACGCUGCCGAAGGUAGGAUUGGCGACUGGGGUGAAGUCGUAACAAGGUACC
This 225-nucleotide ribosomal RNA is filed under the name uncultured bacterium. Its description in RNAcentral is "partial 16S ribosomal RNA". It matches the Rfam family "Bacterial small subunit ribosomal RNA", at positions 1275 to 1500 of the family's 1533-position model. The record is from RNAcentral.